UGCAGUCGUAUGGGAUACCUAAAUUUCCCAUGGCAGACUGCUCAGUAACACAUGAUCAACUUCCCCUAUGGAGAGAGAUAACCUCGGGAAACUGAGGAUAAUAUUUCAUAGUUGAAUUGGCUUGGAAAAGUUUUUCAAUAAAAGGAAUAAGAAAAAUGGUUCUUAUUUGCCAUAGGAUAGGAUCGUGUUCGAUUAUGGUUGUUGGUGAGAUAAUGGCUCACCAAGCCGAUAAUCGAUAGGGGCCGUGAGAGCGGGAGCCCCGAGAUGGGUACUGAGACAACGACCCAGGCCUUACGAGGCGCAGCAGGCGCGAAACCUCCACAAUACACGAAAGUGUGAUGGGGUUACCCAAAGUGUUCAAUACUGAACUGUGGUAGGUGAGUAAUGUUCCCUACUAGAAAGGAGAGGGCAAGGCUGGUGCCAGCCGCCGCGGUAAAACCAGCUCUUCAAGUGGUCGGGAUAAUUAUUGGGCUUAAAGUGUCCGUAGCUGGUUUAGUAAGUUCCUGGUAAAAUCGGGUAGCUUAACUAUCUGUAUGCUAGGAAUACUGCUAUACUAGAGGGCGGGAGAGGUCUGAGGUACUACAAGGGUAGGGGUGAAAUCUUAUAAUCCUUGUAGGACCACCAGUGGCGAAGGCGUCAGACUGGAACGCGCCUGACAGUGAGGGACGAAAGCCAGGGGAGCGAACCGGAUUAGAUACCCGGGUAGUCCUGGCCGUAAACGAUGCAUACUAGGUGAUGGCAUGGUCAUGAGCCGUGUCAGUGCCGUAGGGAAACCGUUAAGUGUGCCGCCUGGGAAGUACGGUCGCAAGGCUAAAACUUAA
RNAcentral lists this ribosomal RNA (821 nucleotides) under uncultured crenarchaeote. Its description in RNAcentral is "bacterial SSU rRNA". It matches the Rfam family "Archaeal small subunit ribosomal RNA", at positions 52 to 859 of the family's 1478-position model. The record is from RNAcentral. Lineage: Archaea; Thermoproteati; Thermoproteota.